UGGGGAAUAUUGCACAAUGGGGGAAACCCUGAUGCAGCAACGCCGCGUGAGUGAUGACGGCCUUCGGGUUGUAAAGCUCUGUCUUCAGGGACGAUAAUGACGGUACCUGAGGAGGAAGCCACGGCUAACUACGUGCCAGCAGCCGCGGUAAUACGUAGGUGGCGAGCGUUGUCCGGAUUUACUGGGCGUAAAGGGAGCGUAGGCGGAUUUUUAAGUGAGAUGUGAAAUACCCGGGCUCAACUUGGGUGCUGCAUUUCAAACUGGAAGUCUAGAGUGCAGGAGAGGAGAAUGGAAUUCCUAGUGUAGCGGUGAAAUGCGUAGAGAUUAGGAAGAACACCAGUGGCGAAGGCGGCCUGCUGGGCUCUAACUGACGCUGAGGCUCGAAGGCAUGGGUAGCAAACA
Molecule: ribosomal RNA, 402 nt
Filed under: uncultured prokaryote
Description: bacterial SSU rRNA
Rfam family: Bacterial small subunit ribosomal RNA
Source: RNAcentral